Molecule: unclassified non-coding RNA, 289 nt
Filed under: Hevea brasiliensis (rubber tree)
Lineage: Eukaryota; Viridiplantae; Streptophyta; Magnoliopsida; Malpighiales; Euphorbiaceae
Source: RNAcentral
AAAGAUGAAGAAGCAAAGUCAGACGAACCAACCCAAGGCUUCAAACAGCUUCUCUUCCAUAACCAUGGAUUCACUGAAUUCUCUCUCUAUAUCUCUCACCCUCUUACUCUGUGUCUCUGUUUCUCUCCCUUUACUCUGUUUCCUUUGGUAACCUUUAUGUCUCCUUCUAUUCAUUCUUGGCAAAAAUACACAUUACUAAAAAAAAUUAAUUAAAAAAAAGGGCAAAAUGACAGAAAUGAUAACUUUAAAGGGCGCCUUAUCUGUAGUUCAAAUCAACUCUGGCUUAAAU